CUAUAGCUUACUAUAGAAGGUAACCAUGGCGGACGGGUGAGUAACGCGUAAAGAACCUACCUAACAGACUGGGAUAACAGAGGGAAACUUCUGAUAAGACUGGAUAUAAUUAAUGUAUUGCAUGAUUGAUUAAUGAGAAGAGAUGCUGAUAGAGGGCUUUGCGUCCUAUUAGCUAGUUGGUGUGGGUAAAGGCUCACCAAGGCGAAGAUAGGUAGCCGGCCUGAGAGGGUGGACGGCCACAAGGGGACUGAGAUACGGCCCUUACUCUUACGGGAGGCAGCAGUGGGGAAUAUUGGACAAUGGAGGAGACUCUGAUCCAGCAAUUCUGUGUGCAUGAAGAAGGUUUUCGGAUUGUAAAGUGCUUUCAGCAGGGAAGAAGGAAGUGACGGUACCUGCAGAAGAAGCGACGGCUAAAUACGUGCCAGCAGCCGCGGUAAUACGUAUGUCGCGAGCGUUAUCCGGAAUUAUUGGGCAUAAAGGGCAUCUAGGCGGUAGAACAAGUCAGGGGUGAAAACUUGCGGCUCAACUGCAAGCUUGCCUUUGAAACUGUGUUACUAGAGUAUUGGAAAGGUGGGCGGAACUACACGAGUAGAGGUGAAAUUCGUAGAUAUGUGUAGGAAUGCCGAUGAUGAAGAUAGCUCACUGGACGAUAACUGACGCUGAAGUGCGAAAGCUAGGGGAGCAAACAGGAUUAGAUACCCUGGUAGUCCUAGCUGUAAACGAUGAUUACUGGGUGUGGGCAGGAAGACUGUCUGUGCCGAAGCA
RNAcentral lists this ribosomal RNA (765 nucleotides) under uncultured bacterium. Its description in RNAcentral is "SSU rRNA". It matches the Rfam family "Bacterial small subunit ribosomal RNA", at positions 73 to 853 of the family's 1533-position model. The record is from RNAcentral.